RNAcentral lists this ribosomal RNA (492 nucleotides) under uncultured bacterium. RNAcentral's name for it is "partial 16S ribosomal RNA". It matches the Rfam family "Bacterial small subunit ribosomal RNA", at positions 29 to 507 of the family's 1533-position model. The record is from RNAcentral.
AGUGAACGCUGGCGGUAGGCCUAACACAUGCAAGUCGAACGGCAGCACAGUAAGAGCUUGCUCUUACGGGUGGCGAGUGGCGGACGGGUGAGGAAUACAUCGGAAUCUACUUUUUCGUGGGGGAUAACGUAGGGAAACUUACGCUAAUACCGCAUACGACCUACGGGUGAAAGCAGGGGAUCUUCGGACCUUGCGCGAUUGAAUGAGCCGAUGUCGGAUUAGCUAGUUGGCGGGGUAAAGGCCCACCAAGGCGACGAUCCGUAGCUGGUCUGUGAGGAUGGUCAGCCACCCUGGAGCUGGGACACGGUCCAGGCUCCUGCGGGAGGCAGCAGUGGGGAAUAUUGGACAAUGGGCGCAAGCCUGAUCCAGCCGUACCGCGUGGGUGAAGAAGGCCUUCGGGUUGUAAAGCCCUUUUGCUGGGAAAGAACAGCAGCAGGUUAAUACCACGCUGUUCUGACGGUACCCAAAGAAUAAGCACCGGCUAACUUCGUG